Molecule: long non-coding RNA, 2395 nt
Organism: Raphanus sativus (radish)
Lineage: Eukaryota; Viridiplantae; Streptophyta; Magnoliopsida; Brassicales; Brassicaceae
Exons: 4
Source: RefSeq, a predicted model, not a curated record
AUAUAUAUAAAGGAGACUUUUCUGGCAUCUCCCACAGCCACGUCGUCUCUGGAGGAGUGGGCAUUUCGCGCCACGUGUCGUCGCGCUGAGCCGGCUGUGAAGGUCACGCGUUCUAUUAUUGUCCUGCGCGUAGCUCACCGUUUUCAGUUUACAAAGAUUUCCAGAUUUCUUCUGCGUUCUUCUUCUUACGACUGCCUCUUCAUCUUCCAGGUUUCACCAACAAAAGCAACGCCUUUUCUUACCCGUAAGUCCGUAACGCCUCAUAACUCCUUCAAAUCCGUCAUUUAUUUCGAUUUUUCCCUUGAUAAAUCCACACUUUGAUUUCUGAAGAGAGAGAGAAUCGAAAAAUAUGUAGAAUUUUAGGGUUCGGGCCGCCCAUUCCUUGUCCUGAUUUCUAAUCAUUUUUCCCGAUCCGACGAGAGGAUGAAGAAGACGCAGUAUCAAAACAUUGGCGUGAAUUUGGUUCUCUCGGAUGCAACACUCGAUCUAGAUGAGCAGGUGCCUCCAUUUCUCUUCCCACACUGGUUCUGUAUCCCCUUUUCGUUUCUUGCUGUUUAAAUGAUGUUGAGUGGAUCUCAGAUUUUGUUUUAAAUGAAAAGUUUGUUUUUUUCUUUCUUCUGUGAGUAUGUGAUUACUCGGUUUGAUGUCUGAGUUGUGGAGAAUGGCUUUUGGGAUAGGUAGAGGUUGAUGCAUGUGUAUAUUAGCAUUCAAGUCAGUUUUGCGGGUUGAAAAUAUUACUUUGUUAUAUAAUUUCAAGGUAGAUAUGUAUUGGGUUCGGAAUAGGUGGUUCACUUGCACUUUGAUAACCCUUUUAGUCUGGGUUUGCCUGACUCACAUAAUUUGAUGAUUGCUUCAAAAUCUGAUACAUUGAUGUUAAUUUCGACAACUAAUUGAUGCAAGCAAUAUGUUACAUAGCAUAUUAGAUCAAAGCUUAAACUUACCCAGCACAGAAGGAAGAGAUGGGACAGAUGGAGUAUUGAUUGCUUGACGAUAAACAACAAAACCGGUGGGAUCUGGAACUCAAACGCGAUCCAGAAGAAUAGUUUAUUCUAGCACGAUUCUGACCAUAUGAUCAGUUACUUGAGCUAGCAAACACGGGCAAACAACUCCCUGACAUAAUGGGGGAGCUUUGUUCAAUUAGUAACACAAUAGACAACCGUUUGCUGGGGAGACACAGCGUGUGUCGUGUGAUGCUCACUUCGCGUCUAGAAAGGUACUUUAAGGAUGUCUAUUUUUCCUUGAUGAUGUUAUUCGGAUCAUAUUCCCCAGUGGUGAUCUUUCUGUUUAGUUUCAUUUUAUUUCAAAGCAGAUGUAUAGUAUUAUCUCAUAGAACAUACCUCUCUCGGUAUUCAUGUUUAGUUACAAUACUAUUGUGACAACAAUAGUUUCUAAUAAAACACCAAUUAUGUGCAGUCAUUCUGUCUCAUAUAAAAUUUCCCGAGGACAAACUGAACUAAAUAUGUUGAGAACUUUCGAUCUCAUGUUGACUUCCUUUACUCUAACGUAUCCCCCAUUUGACUUUGUAGCAUGAUUUAUGUUCAGGGAAGCAAAUGUUUGUGUUAGUAUGUUUGACUCUUUGGGUUGGUGUUAUAUUGGGUGUUCAAAGAAACUCAUCCGAGAGGAAUAUUCCUUUACAUGUGUCGCAUGCAAUGAAACUAAUGCUCUGGCUGAACUCAGGUAGCGGGUGAUACUUUCUGUGUUAGACAACACUGGCACCGCGGUUUUCCUUGGCUGUGAUAUGGAGGUGGCUAAACUGACCCACGUUCUAGCUUCUGAGGCUGCACAGAUUGUGGUAUGAGAGCUUGCACCUAUGCCAACUUUGCUGAAGGUGUAAAGGUCCCUCAAGCAGCGCUUCCCGGAGCUGUGACACCAGGAUCAGAUGUCAGAGAUGCUAACACUUGCAAAGUUGCAGAGCAAGCAACUACACCUGAUGGUUCACUUCCCGGACAUUUACCAACAGUGAAAGAACAAGUUGAUCUGGAAGAGAAUGCUCCCAAGAAAGCACGUGAGGAAUGAGACCCCUGUUAGAACCUAAACAACCAUGUCUUCUCCUUAUCAAUUAAACUUUUAGCAUCUUUCAACUUCGCUCAAGUCUAUUCCCUUGAGGAAAAAAACUCAAGUGUCGUGGUUGUUGUCAUUUCUUUUAUCUAUGCAAAUUUUAUUUCCCUAUAAAAAAACUCAAGUGUCGUGGUUGUUAUUUCUUUUAUGAAUGCAAGUCUUUUUAACAAUAUGCAUCCACAUGUCUUGGAUUUAUAAUUCCGUGGUCUUCUGAAUAAGCAACUUCUUCGGUGUCUUCUUGAUCAUGGGCAUCAAAUUCGGCAUACAUAUUUCAGUGAGAGGUUAUGAGUAUCAAAAACAUUCUAGGUGAGUUGAGUUCUACUAUUGAAUUUCAGUU